UCCUCCUCCGUUGUAACCUCCAUGGCCACCACCAUAUCCAUCAGGUUUCUCAUUUUCCUCACUCUCUGACUUCACCGUGCCUGUUCCAAACACACACAAAAAAAAAACAAAAUUAUUUCAAAAAUAUUUUUAAGCACGUGCAAAUGUGCAUUCCUUUGCCUAUUUCAUAAUUGAACACUUUUAAAAAAUGUAUAGAAAUUCGGGAUAAUGAUGUAGUUGUAGUGACAGAAUUACUCUGAACAGCUUCUAGUCCAUGUCCCCCGCGGCCUCCAUGUCCCCCGUGGCCUCCUCCUCCGUAGUGUCCUCCUCCGUGGCCACCACCAUAUCCAUCAGGUUUCACAGUUUCCUCACUCUCUGAGUUCACCGUGCCUAUCCCAAAAGCGAAACCACAUUAUUUUAUAAAUAUUGUUAGUACGUACAAAUGUGCAUUCCUCUCCCCAAUUUCAUAAUUAAAUUUCUCUUAAAAACUUUCUAAAAUAUGUAUAUAAUUCCGAUCUCUAGUUAUAAAAAAAAUGAGUUCAACAUUAAAUAUACGUUUUAUAUAAAUUGGCGUCAAGCAUCUAAAUAGUUUGGGAGGGUCUAAUAGGUAUAAGAGCAUGUACAUCAGUGAACCCUUAAAAGAGGGGUUUAACAGAAUAUAAUAACAUUUUUUUUUUGUUUUAGUUUUUUUUUUUUUUAAUUCGAAAAUUAUAAUUUUCGACCAUGUUUUAUUUGGGAUGAUACCGUCUCUUCAGGUUCGUCGGGAUGAUACUGUCUCUUUAAUAUUAAGAUCUUUUGUCUCAAAAACCGUGCCAUGAACCCCUCUUGAUCCUCUGAUGUAGAUGCUCUAAGAAGGACUAAACGUCAUAAGUAAGCGUAAGUGUCUUUUCUUACUAGGACAUCAACAUGAUACUUAAGUGUGUUUAUGACUUAGUGAGUCCAAAUAAUUGACCAUCGUUCACCCCAACUUUUCGCAUUUAAAACGGACGAGAUAGUUGGACAAAAUUAUCAAAUGGUACGUUAGUCCGGUUAGAUUAGCUUCACGAUAAUUUUUUUGUUUUCUAUAAAAUAAUUUUACGUACCCGACUGCCUUGCUGAGACGACGAGAAGAAAUGCAAACACACCCAACAGAAGCAAAGUCUUGGAAGCCAUUUUCUUCAAACUGCUUAUAACACUUUUAAUUUGUAUAUAUGGAGAAAGAAGUGAUGAAUAAAAUGUUAGCCUGCAUGCUCUCUAUUUAAGGAAAACGAGGAGGGCAGAAUGAGGAAAAGUCAAAUAAAUAAUUCGUAGUGCAGUGAAAAGAAGUAUUUUUUUAAUUAAAAGCAAAAGGGAGAUUUAGUGUAUCACAAAAUUUAGAGAAAUUGCAUUGUUUGCAGAUAAAGACACACUUUUUAGUAGCAAAUAAAUAAAACUAUAUUUCUUUGCGCAAGCGAACAAAAGGGAGUUGUAUUAUUCUAGAAGAGUUUAGAUCUAAUUUAUACCCCCCAAAAAAUAUAGUUUAGAUAUCUUUAUCUGUAUCAUGCAAUCUUUCUUUGUAAACAUCUUGAAUAGAGUUAAUAUAUGUUACGUGAUUUAUAUUAGAUUGCAUGAAACAAAAAAUACGUGAAACAAAGUGUUUCGAAAAGGAUAACAAUUUUAAAAAUGAUAGGAAACGUUUGCUUUCGGAAACAUAUAUUAUAUAUAAAACAUCAAAAUCAUAUGAAAAACAAAACGAAACAUUAAAACCAAACGAACUUUAAUACUUAUAUAUCAAACAGAUAAAUAAAGAUACAAAUCCAAACGUGGUAAGAAGAUAACGAAAUUUUCAUAUUUUCGAAUUUACUUCAUCUAUCCUACAAAUAAGAUGGUAAGACGAUCGAUAAGUAUGAUCAAAGUAUAUCUGUAUCCGUUGCGUCGAUUCCCAUAUGGUGGGUUGUUGGAUUGUGAUUUGUGAAAAACUUUAACCUCAAUAGUCUUUUAGAUAUUUCUUAUCAACGUCUUUAAACAUAGGAACCAUCGGACAAGUAUUGAACUAUUGAUAUGUAAGAAUUACAUUAUUGGCCAUAACUGGUAUUAUUGUUACAUUAUUAUUACUAUAAUUUGGACACAAAAUUAGUCCACUAUUUGUACUUUAACUCUUUAAGGAUCUUCUUUGAAAAUCUCAGCCGACAGGUUUUUAAGCAGACGGAUAAAGAAUUAAUACGAAGUAAUUACUAAGAACUUACCUUUAAAGGGUGAAAUUUUGCUUGGCUAUAAUUUAUUCAGGCCUACAUCGAUAAAAAAAAAUAAAAAUCAUUCCAGUGACCUAAGUGUAAAGGAGCUUGAGAUAUACGUGUUGAGAAGAUGAGCAUUAUUAAGUGUACAGAAUGUAGCUGCCGUCCUAAUUAUAAUAAAAUAGAAGUUAAUCCGCACAUUGUAAGGGAUAAUGUUUUUUUAAUUAUUUUUAAAUUUAAUUUAAUUUUUUUUAGUUAAAUUAAAAUUGGUGGCAAAAAUAUUUUAACAAAAAAUAUAAAUAAACAAAAUUAAUAAAAAUUAAAUAAUAUAUAUAUAUAAAUAUCACACAACCGAUAUUUAUUUGUAUAUAUAUAUAUAUUAUAGAGUAUGACUUUGAGCUAAUUUUGUUAUGCAGUUUAAUUAUUCAUAAAAUAAGAAUUUAAUUUUGAAUAUUUUAUUAGAGAUUAAACUAUUAUUUUUAGUUAAUAAAUUAUAAUAUAUGUUAAUAAUAAUUAUAUAUAGGAUUAGACAAAUUCGUCUAUUUAAUUUAUUUUAUAAUUUUUAAAAUAUUAUUUCGACCAAUCCGCAAAAAAUAGAUUUUAAACUUUAAAUUAUAUUUUAUUUUUUAUAAUAAUAAUUGAAUUGAUUUUCAAAAAUGAUGCUAAUUAAUUAUGAAAAUACAAAUGAAAAAUAUUGCAAAAUUUAAAUAGUUUUUCAUAUAUAUGGAUUGAUUAUUAUUUAAAAUAAUAGAAUAUAUUUUAACAUUUUAAUAAGUAAAAAGCAAAAUACAUUUUUUAUUUAUAUCCAUAUAUAUUCAAAACAAAUAUGUGAGCUAUAUAUUUAACUAUCUCUUGUGAAGAAAUAUUUAAUUAAAAAUUUUAUAUUUGUAAAAUUUAUUUAUUUAAUAUCUUUUAAGUAAAGGUUUAUUUAUGUAAUAUUUUAUAAAUAAAUAUUUAUUUAUGUAAAAUAUUCUGUAAUAUCUUACAAAUAAAAGUUUCUUUAUAAAAUGUCUAUUCAAAUAAUAAUGUAGAGAUGUAAUUUAAUUAAAGUCUAAUUGAUAUGAACUUCAUAAUUAUUAUAAAAAUAUGAUCAAUUCCAUGCGAGUGAAAAAGAUUUACAUAGUUAUCGUUUAUUUCUCAUACAAAACUAUUUUAAUUUUAAAGAGUAAAACGUAGCAGAAAAUGAAAACUGGAACUUUUUUAGAAUAUGACAGCUAGUUUUAAAAAUGGGAGAUGGCUACAAUACCGUUUCAAAAUAAUAGAUUAAAACUUAAUCCCAGAUAUCCGACUUGUUGAUGGUUUCUAUUUGCUUACGCACACUAAAUAUAUUAACACUCAAGAGAGGGAAAGUGUAAAUUGUAUUAAUGAAAGUGUUAGUGAACCGUAUUACAUUAAUUCCCUUUUAUAUACCAACUAGGUUAAGAAUAAAUACAUAUAUGUUAAUACAUCCCUCUCAAACCGAAUCAACCUUAGGUAGAAAGAGGUUUGAUAAUAAUACACGACUAAGCAAAAAAUGAAAUGGACCUAGAUGCAAAGGCUUCGUCAACAUAUCAGCAAGCUGAUUCGAAGUAGAGACAUGAAGAACAUUUAGGAAGCCAUUCUUCACCUGAUCUCGGGUUAUGUGGGAAUCAAUUUCCACAUGCUUAGUUCUCUCGUGAAAUACAGGGUUAUUGGCAAGAUUCAUAGCUGAUUUUUUUUAUCACAAAACAGGUUGGCUUCAGAAGUUACCGGGAUAUGAAGAUCAGUCAGUAAUUGGUGCAGCCAAAGUAACUCUCCCGUAGUAACAGCCAUGCUCCGAUAUUUGGCCUCCGUGCUGCUUCUAUUAACCAUUUCCUGUUUCUUGGACUUCUAGGUGAUAAGAGAUGUUCCAAGAAAUACACACAGACUCGUUACAGAACGACUGCAUCUGAAAAUCCAUUCAAGCAUAACUCUGUAGUAGCAUAAUAGAAAAAACCUUAGCCCAGAUUUUCUUCAAAUAUUUAAGGAUCUGGAAAGCAGCUUGAAAAUGAACAUUAGUGGGGAAAGACAGAUACUGACUCCACUGAUGCAGCGCAAAAGUGAUAUCAGGACGAGUAAUGCAGAGAUAUUGCAAUCGACCAAUCAAUUCGCGAUAUGAAGUUGUAUCAGAAAGAGACGUACCCGCGGACUGGAUCCAUCAAAACUGAUUUUGGUUUAUAACCAAGGAGACCAUAAUCUUCAAUAAGAUCCAAGCAGUAUUUCCUCUGUGAAACAGAUAACCCCGAAGCAUUCCUUGCAAUCUCAAGACUCAAGAAGAAAUGAGCUUGGCCAAGAUCUUUGGUCUUGAAUGGGAUUGUGAUAUAUUCAUAUCAUUUCGUGUUUAGGAUGCAUUUUUGGUCCAAGAAUAGAGCCUCAUGCAUACAUUUUAGAUAGAUUCUUCAUGUUUUCUUUGUUUUAGAGGUUUAGGACUUUGCAUUAGGUCCAAGUGAGUCUUGCAUGUUUGGAGUGUCAAUCAGGUGCUUUGGAGGUCAUCUGGAGAUGAAAAUAUGGAACCAGGUGAAGAAAUGGUGAAAGAAGGGCAAGAUAUGGUAAAAAUGAGGUUUUGGAGGUUAUCGGCAAAAUUGCUUACUGCGGGAAGAUUUUUAUCGGCCAAAAAUCAUUCCCGGGAAGCAGUUAUCGGCCAAAACAUGUACCAGACCAAGUCUGUAUCGGCAAAAAUCCUUUGUCGUGGGAAAAAAUGUUUAUCGGCUAAAAUACGUACCGCAGUACGUAACUUAUCGGCCAAAACGUGAAUUAUCGGCCAAAAGUUUCCCGACCCGAUAUGCUUCAAAGAUGCCUUUACCAGAAAGCUUUCUCGUCCGAUUCAGUUUCUAGUGUUUUCACAAACGUUCAAGAGAAUUGAGUCACAAUUCCAGAACAGUUGGAAUCAAUGGAUUUGGAGCAGUGAGCUGAAAGAUACGGCCAACAGAAGAUGAAUCUGCCUCGCAUCCAUUCUGGUCAUAUCCGAUGCGACUCAAAGAUCACUCAGGAUGAAACUCUUCCCUUCCAAUCUAGUUUCCGGGGCUCUAUCAAGAUUUGAGAGAUUCGAGUCAUAUUUCCAUAACGCUUAGAAUCAUUCCAUUUGGAGUGUUGAGUUGGGAGAUAUCGCAUUCGGGAGACAGACAUGCCCUGCAGUAAGAAACUAGAACCUCCCGAGCCAAUGCAAUGAUCCGUUUACCGGAAGGCCUCUCUCACCCGGGAUGCACUUAAGUUCUUCAUCAAAGUUGUAUGGAAUUGAGCUGCCUUUCCUCUGGAGUUUCUCUCGAGUCAUUUAGACUCAUAUCCCACAAGUUAUGCUAGCUCAAGUAAACAUAGAUCCGAGGAAAUGAGAAAUGCUGCGACAUGGCUUUGCGACUCGGUCAACUUGCAGCGAUGAAUGUUUAAAUUCUGGGAGCAAGCUGAGACUUGAAAUGAUGCGGGUGAGGUGACUCGGAGCAGGGUAAGGAUUUCCAAAGCUCAAAUAUUUCUAAGUCCAGAACAGCCUAUGACAUGGCAGUGCGAGAUUGAUGAUGAGAUGAACCAUGUCGCACACACACUCGCUUGGGGCCGCGACAUGACAGUGCGAGAUGGAUGAAGAGAAGUAACAUGUCGCACUCCUACUCUCUUGGGGCUGCGAACGUGAAGCUGUGAGUGGGAAAAGAAGGAUUUAAGCUGCAAGUACAAUUGCUUGAAUGAUACGACAUGAAAGUGCGGCUGAAGAAGCAAGGGAGCUGAGACGUAACAACAUUCACUUGGGGCUGCGAGAUGGCAGUGUAGGUGAACUGAAGCCAGGACCAUCUCGCACCAUGGCCACAUGACCCAACUGAACCAGGUCAGUACACAGUUUGUCUUGAGCUGACCCGCUCCAAAACACUUAGUAUAAAUAGCUUUUAGGGUUUUUUUCCAAAGAACAUCUCAUUUUCCUUUAGGUUUUUAGCCACUUUUGUGUAAGAGACAACUAAAGAGAGAUAUCUCCUUUCUUUUCUUUGAAUCAAAAAUGUUUGAGAGCUUAAUCUAUCUAUCUUAUCAUCAUUACUAUUCAUCAUCUUGUUUUCUCUAUCAACUAAUCAUGUUUAAUUACUUUUCUUGCAAAGGAAUCAGAGAGUUAAUCAUGAUUAGUGAGUAGUCGCGUCAUUAGGGUUCUAGAUAUGUAAGUUAGGGUGUUUAGAGGUUUGAUUAAGGCUGCUUAGGAUUAAAUUUAUACAUCUCUGUCUUGUUUAGCUGAUUUUAAUGCUUGGUUAUAGAUGAUCUCUCUAACCCAGAUUUUGGGCAUUUCAUCUACCCAAAACGUGUUUGAUGAAAUGCCUGAACCAGCUAAGUCAAGAGUCUAUUGUUUGAUUCACAUGAAAAUGUUGUUUUGAGCAUAGAUGGUAUAUUAGGAUUCGUGUUUAAUGCAUUCCUUUCAUUGUGACUCUAAUGAUGAUUAGGUAUGAGCAAUGUUUGGUAUUGUGUUUUGAUGCUUGAGAAAUAUUGAAACUUGAUUUGAAUCCUAAGCUGCUUAGAUCAUUCAUCAUCAUUGUCAUUAGCUCCUUGAUUAAACUAUGAUGCACCCUAGAAACUAUCAUGUCUAGAGCUCUAAGUUUCAUCAUAUUCAUAUCAUCUUAAUCAUUUUCUGUCUUUAUUUAUUGCUUGUUUAAUUCUUUAAUCUUGUUUAAUUGCAAUUCUGUCACUUGUUUGAAACUAAAACAUUUUGUUUGUUUGAAUUAAGAAUAGUUCAUAUAGAUUAGUGAACUAAACACCACACCUUGGAUUGAUAACCUUUGUACUACAACAGACAAAGGGAUUGAUACCCUAAGAGCCUUGAAAAAUCUUGUCUACCAUAUUGAGAGAAUCUUCUAAAUAGACUUGACAGCUUCAUCAUCAUUGCUCGCUAUAAGGAUGUCAUCGACAUAGAUCAGGAGAUAAAUAAAUAAUGUACCUGUUAGCUUCACAAAGAGGGUGUUAUAUGCAUAAGACUGUACAAAUCCGGCAUCAAGUAAGACCUUCGACAAACACUUGUACCAUUAACGAGAUGUCUGCUUCAAGUCAUAGAUGGAUUUAUCAAGUUUGCAAACCUGAUUAGCAGGCAGAUGAACAUCAGCUGGAGUGUAACAUCGUGGCAAGCUCAUGUAUAUCUCCUCAUCGAGCUUACUGUGCAAGAAAGCAUUGGUUACAUCCAUUUGGGUUAAGCUCCAACCCAUUCAUGCGGCUAAACCAAGGAUAAGCUUCACACUGGCAAGCUUGGAAACUGGGAAAAGGUGUCAAAGUAAUCAACACCUUUUUGUUUUGUGUAUCCCUUUGCUACCAGGCAAGCUUUAUAACGCUCCACAUUUCCAUCUGCAUUAUACUUAAUGGUAAACACCCAUUUACAACCAACAACAUUUUCCCUCGGAGGCAAUGACACAACACUCCACGUAUUGGUUGACUCCAUUGCUCCGAAUUCCAAAUUGAAAGCAUCAGUCCAUUCUUUGGAUGAAAUCACCUGCUUAAAGGUGUUAGGCUCAGUCUCCAUUGAAAAAGAGAGAACAAUAGACUGAUAUGGGGUGUUAAGAGUAGAGUAAGAGAGAACAGAAGAAAGAGGAUAUGGAGUAGUAUAAACCUUUAUAGAAAUGGGAGGAGUAGAAAUUUUUGUUAAAGAACAAUGAUAAUUGGACAAAUAACGUGGUACUUUUGUCGAGUGUUUUAGCCUGGCAUUGGGAAGUGAAACCAGAGCAUUCUCUGUGACAACAGGGUGAUGGAUUUUCCUUGGAGCACUAGAGUGAGAUGAUGAUGCAUGUGAUGUAUAAAGCGGAGGAGAAUGGAUGGUCACAGUAGAUGAAGGAUGCAAAUUAUUAGGCAGUGAAAUCACCUAAUCUAAUGCAACAAGAAUUGGCAAUGGUAAUAUAAACUCUAAAAAAAUAUCAGAAGAUGAACUAGAAAGAAGAUGCUCAGUAAAAGGAAAUAUUGUCUCAUGAAAAACAACAUUUCGAGAAACAGAGAUAAUUUUUGAAUCAAGGUUCAAGACAUUAGAAUACCCUAAGAGUACACAUCGAUCCACACGAGGACUAAAAUUAUGUUUAUCCUUCUGUAACGUAGAAACAUAACAUAAGCAGCCAAAAGAUCUUAAGAAUAAGUAAUCGGGCUUCUUAAGCAUAACCAACUCAUAUGGAGAUUUGUGUUUAAGAAUAACAGAAGGUAAUCUGUUUAUCAAAAGACAACUCCAAAUGAAGAUCCGCUUGCGGCUAUAGCUAGAUCUGAGAGUUGCGAAUAUGCUUACAAAUUUUCAGGCUGAUCCAAUCCGAUUUGCCUGUCUGUUUCUCUCUUACACCAUAACAGGUCGGAUCUGCCACCUAGAUGGUUACAAUGGCUUCGCCUUUAAGGUUCUUGGCCACAAGAUAGCUCUCUGAUCUCUUCUAAGACAUGGCUGCUCUAUUUAUAGAGUGGAGAAGAGAUACUUCUAAAUUUAGAGUUUUAGAGAGGAAAAUAAUGAAAAUGGGUUUGAGAGUUUUUCUGAUGGGUUUUGAGUAAUCAGGCUGAAAAAAAAAAAAAAAAUUAGACCAAACCCUAUUCUUGGGAUGUCACAGAUUUAUUAGAGAAUAUAUUUACAUGAGUUUAUAAUUAUUUGUAUGAUAUUUACAUGAGUUUAUAAUUAAAUCGUACAUUAACAUAGCAUCGUUAUUGGAUAGUUAGUCGGAUCGGUUCAACCGGUCAUACGAAAAGUUUGUUUAAUAUAUAUAUAUAUAUAAGAAAAUAAGAAUAGUUAUUUUAAGAAAAAUAAAGAAAAUAAAAUUAAUUUCUUUUAAUUAUUUACAACUGCCAGCCAGCGAUUACAUCCGUCGCUUGAAGAAACUUAUUAUCUAAAUGAAUAAAUAAACUUUUAAUUUAUAGCGGUUCUAAGCGUCACAAAGAGAUAAGAAACAAGUUCAACGGUUUUAGUGAUUGUUAUUAAACGUCACGAAAAUAUAACCGUAUGCAAACAUAGCGUAUGUGGCUGGCAGCGAGAAAACUAUCCAACACUAAAUAUUACAUAUUUACUUUAAAAUUCAUGCCUGCUUAUUACCAAACCAUAUUUUUACCAAUUUUAAUUGUGACAUUUAAUGUCCGCACAUGCGUACAGGCCAGUCAUAAAUCUGAUAUAUUGCAUUCACAUCAAUUUGUGUGUAUUUUUGUUUUGAUAUGUCUUCUGAUUUUUUUCUGUCCUAUGUAACCAUUUUUUGAUAAUUUUAAUUGGUUGAUCAUUAAUCUUUACGUGUCUUUUAAAAGUGAUGUGGUAUAAUCGUUUUAAUUAGAUUAUUAAAGCUCGUUUAAGAUUGUCUUUUUAAAAACGACAAAAAAAAUCGGACAAAGUAAGUAAUAAAAAUAAAUGUAUGACCCAUAUAUUUGAAAGUGUCACUGGCCCAAUGGCAGAAGUCUCCCUUAUGCAUUUGAAGGACAUGUGUUUGAACCAAGGUGGUAACAAUUUUUUAAAAAAUCGUAGAAUUUUAAAACGACAUCGUUUUGAGUUAACCUAACAGUAACAGCAGAGUUAACAGCGUUUAACUUUUCUGUUAACUUUAUAAACGGAGUGCUGAUUUGGCAAGUCAACGAAAAGUUUGUUAUUAUUUAUGGAAGUCAACAAAAAUUAAAUGUUUAUUUGGCUAGCCUGACAGUUCAUGCUUUUUUUUGGCAAAAUGUGGAAAGUUUAAGGUUUUUUUGGCCGAAUUCUCAAAAUAAACUCAUUAAAGUUCGUUUAAAUUGUUUUUUUAACCAAUAAACAUUAAAACCUGUUUAAGAUUGUCUUUCUAAAAACCAAUUAAAGUCUGUUUAUAGUUGUUUUUAUUAAAACCAAUGAACUCAAAAAACCUAAUAUACUUCUUCGAUACACUAAAUAUAUAUAUAUAUAUCCUCUCUAACAUAGUUUGUCUUUUAAUGUUCUCUUUUUCGGUAAACAUUACAUUUGCUUUUUUCUAUUAAUUUUAUUAACGUACGCUUGAGUUUGAGUUUGUUGCUUGUGCUUAUAAAUUUUUUUGUAACAAUUCCUAAUCUUUUUAAGAUUAUGAUUGAAAAUGUUAGUAUAAACAACCAUAGUUUAAAAAAUAGCAUCAAUGUUCACAUACUCGUGAAACAAUGUAUAGCAUCAAGUCUAUCAAUUUUUUUGGUCUCUUAUUUUAGAUUUGAUGCGGCAAAAAGAUUGCUUUGGGAACCAAGUCUUUUUUUUUGUUGGAAUUAUCUUCUAUUCUUGUCAGUUUUUAUUUUUCAUGCAAACGUUGACAUUAAAAUCUCUUUGUUAGAUUUGAUACCAUAUUAAAUUUCAAAUCUGAAUUAAUCAUUAUAUUUAUACAUUAUUAUUAUGGAUGAGUUUAUUUUCGUUAUCUGUAGCCCAAACUCUCUUCCCACGAAAAAAACGAUUAAACCAAUAAUAUUUAUUAUAAACAGGCCGAUAGACUUUAGUAUAAACAAGUUUCAAUAGCCUAAUUAUAACAAAAUUUGUCACAUCGCUUUAAAGCACGUAUAGAAUUAAUGAACGAACAAAAAAUAAAUACAUGACAUGUCAGGACAAAACGACACAUAAGAUUUUGGACUUCACAAAUAAUAGUAACUAGGAAUUAACAUGCACAUUGUGCGGGGUAAUGUUUUUAAGAAUUUUAAAUAUUUUUUAAAAAAAUUUUGGUUAAGUUAAAAAUUGGUAGCAAAAACCUUUUAACAAAAAAUAUAAAUAAAUAAAAUUGGUAGCAAUUAGAUAACUAUAUAUAUAUAUAUAUAUAUAAAUAUCAUACAACCGAUAUUUACGUGUAUAUGUAUCUAUUGAAAGAACUUUGAGCUAGUUUUGUUAUGCGGUGUAAUUAUUAGUAGUUUUUAAAUGUGAAGGUGAUGUGAUGUUAAUAUAUUCAUACUUAUAUACUGCUGGGAUAAAUUCGAUCCUUCCUACAUGGACGAACUGCAUGCUUGCACGUGGCGUCCAUGUUUUUUUUUUCAGGUACGGCCCCCCUGGGCCAAAUUAGGAUCCGUAGUGGGUCGUAAGCAUAUAGCACUGGGCCUCGAAUCCAUAAGGAUUCGGGAGAUCCGGUACGAUAGAUCACUUGUUCCCGGGUUCCUCGUAUCUAAUAGUGCAGGCCACGCUGUCAGAAGUAAGGAGGUCGAAACUGAGUGGUCAAGAGGAGGAGAAGUCCCAUUUUCUAUGUCCUAGGCCUAAACAUGGUAAUCCGGAAAGGUCGAGAUAUAAGGUAGUGUGGCCUACACAGGAUCUGGAGAGCGGAGUCAUCCAUCGAGACAACCCCGACAGCCCGGUCCCAGUAUCGAGGGAUCCAUGUCAGGUAUGAAAUAAUUUUAUGAGCGGAAAACACUAUUCAAAUUUUCCUCCAUUCGAUAAUAGGAAUAUGCCUUAGUAUGAUUUGAUUGCCCAUACUCUUACAAAACCAUGAAAUUGGCAUUUAAUGCACCCUUCUUACAUGUGUCAGGCGACAGCGACCUUUCACAGAAACUAGAGGAAAAGAAGAGGUUCAUCAAGAGUUAUACCGCGUAUGAACCGCCAACCCAAUCCGUACACUGGAGACGAAAGGAACAUGCUAAGGAGCGGUCUCGCAGCAGGCAGAACACGUCAAGGAAAGUUGGUGAGACCGUCAGAGGUAUGACGUGGGAAAAAGAUUUGAACCCAAUAAAAUCGGAUCGAGAACCGACCAACCCACCCGACUCGCUAUGCAAGGACAGACCCGGUAUACUAACCCGGGUCAGGUAAAAUCCUAUAAAUACAUUAUCCUUUCCAACAAGGAAGGAGAUCACUUUUAUUUGCUAUCUUAAGGCUCAUAUUAUCUCUCUAGAUACUUGUGAUCUUUGAGCCCUAACAUAUUAUACUUUCCGGUCAUUACUCAGAACAAUGUUUUAGUUCUUCUCCACGGCGGUUCCUAAAUCGUGGAGUAUUUCCACCCACAAACUCUUUCAUUUCUUCUCUUUUAACUAAUUCUUUAUAAGGAACGCUGGGCCCAUCUUUCUUCUCUCGUUUUCCGAACUCUUUCCUCUCUCCAAUUAGUCACUCUGUGAUCUUUCUUCACUGUUUUCUGACUUGAACGUCGGAGAACCUUCCGAAAACACACCAUCAUCGUGUUUUUUGGGCCUUCACGUGCUUUCUGUUUUUGCAAGAGACUUACCCCCACAAAGGAUCAAAAAUCUCUAAAUAGUUUAGCGCUAGAAAGAGGAGGGCAACACUCUUCUAUAGGAAGAACUGAAACCAUACACGACCUUGAAGGUAUGUCAUGACAAGAGAAGACGGAGGUAGCUCACCAGAGAACGACACCUUGGAGGGGAUGGAAGGAGAGAACAUCUGCUGGGUCGACAGACCGACCAAGCUAUUCUCGGGAUGCCCGAUGAUAAGGGGAACAUCUUUGGUUCCCCACGCCGCCGCCAAACGCACACUCAGAACUCGUCCAGAGUGUAGAAGAAAAUGCCCUGUAAAAUUCCUUACAUCCAAAAACCUUAGUGAAAGUGUUGGCAAACUGGUCAUUAUAUAUAACAAAUGAGUUAAAGACUCGUGGGCAAUGCCCAAUAAAGUCUGCCAUGGAUUGGUCCUGUACAACAGUUUUUAUAUCAAUUAAAAAGUGCAGGCCUCGUAGGUUGAUCGAUUGCAGUUUGCGGAUUAAACAAUUGGGAUCUAUACUAGUUUCGGCAAAGAUAAUUGACAAGAACGUCCAAAACCGGCUAAGUGAAAGACAACGUCUUGGAGACCAAAAGUAUGAAAGAAGCCUCAUGUAUUGGUUUGCCACACACAAAAAAAAAACUAUUUGUUUUUAGUUUCCAUUUUAUAAAAAAAAACUAGGUAUUUAGCCCUUUUUUGCAUGGGCAGAGAAGUUUAUUAAAUAAUACUAGGAGAGAAUCCGCGCGUAUGCGCAGAUCUUGUUUUAAUUUAUAUUUUGAAUAAUUUGUAUUGAAUUUUAUGUUUACUAUUAUUGUAUUUUUGUUUAGAAUAUUUAUAAUAAAUUAUUUGUAAUCUCUUCUACACCAGUUGUGUCAAAUAGUCUAAUUUUUUCUUCGAUCUUCAUAUUCUUUUUAUUCUUGUAAAUCUUACUAAUAUAAUAUUUGUUAAUUUUCUUAAUUUUCUAUUUGAAUUUUUUUGGUUAUAUAUAUUUUAUUGAUACCAUCUUUUUAUUAUUAAAAAAAUUAUAUAUGACAUUUUUAUGUGGAUACUUUUUUUUACUAUUAUUUUUUUAAUAACUUUUAUCUUUUUAAUAGUUUAUUAAAUAUGCUUUGUGUUUUAUACUUUUAUUAGUUGAAUUUUUAUAUAAGAUUAUUUGAAACUUUUUAAUUUAGUCAGUCUCAUAAUUUUUUUCACUUGCAUUAAAAUUUAAUUAUAUUUUUAGUUUGUAAAUGAAUUUUAAAACAUUUGAAAAAAGAAAAUAGAACUAUGCAAUUAAAAAGUCUUAUAUUAUAUAAUAGUUAUAAGUUUUUAUAUAUUAAAAUUAAAUUUUAAUUUUAUUCUAAUAUAAAUAUAUGUUAAUAUUUAUUUAUGUUUUUAAUGUGUUUGCUUUAAAUAUGAUUAAUUAAUUAUUUUGUUAAUAUUUGAAGAGGAUAGGUGGUGCUCUCUCCAGUGCUGACGUGUCGCUCAACUGGAGAGAGUUGGCCAAAUUUUAUAUAUAUGACUAGGAGAAUACAUGCACGUAAUAUGCGGGUUUUUUCUUUAAUUAUUUCAAAUUGAUAUAUUUUUGUAUUUUUCUUAAAGAAAUAUAGUCAUCAUUUCUUCUAUGUUACUAUAUAAUUAUAAAUCAAUCAAUUUAAAAUUUAAUAUUAUUAAAAAAUCAAGAGUUUAUACAAAAAAGCUAUCAAUGUUUUAGCAUAAAUUCUUGUUUAAUAUUUAUAUAACUGUUAUUUAAGAAUCAGUUAAUAAAAAAAAACUAUUUUCUUUGAAUGGUUGAGAAUUUAAUACUAAAAUUUAUUAAUCAAUUUUUUUUUGAUAAUUGUAACUUUAAAUUAAAAAUUGACAAAUGUCAUCUCUAUAUUAACUCUAAAAUGCUGAUGUGUCACUCAUAUAUAGAGAGUUAGCCAUCUUUUAUAUAUAAGAUUAUAAGUAAACAAUAUAUUUGGUAGUUUAAUCUUCAUCUCUAAAGUAAUCAUUAUUUGCAUAGAUUAGUUUUAUGCAUUAUUUUAUUCAUUCAACUUUUAGCCUCAAAUUUCUCCUUUUUUGGCUAAAUUGACUAUCCUUACUGAUUUUUAUCUUCUCGUAAGCGUAGACGUGAAACCAUUUUAUCCAGUUGUAUGUAACAAAUCAAUCUUUUUUGCUAGCUUUGAUACCAUAUUUAGUUUCAUCUCUGAAAAUUUCAUUAUAUAUACAUUAAGUUUAAAGAUGAUUUUAGUUCUUCAUUCUCUUGAAAUUUCUCCCUGUUUAACGAAAAUUGUCUCUCUUUGGUUGAUACUUAUCUUUUAUGCAAGCGUGGAUACAAAACUUUAAUAUCAUGUUGAUACCAUGUUAAACUUUUUUAAAAUUAUAGUCAUUAUUUAUAGACAUUAAAUAUAUAGAUUAUUGUAACUAGGUGAAUCUCCGCACGUUACGUGCAAGUUUUUUUUUCUUCAACUAUUUCAAAUUUCAAAUUCCUAAGAAAAAUGCAAUCCUACUUUAUUAUGUGUUAGAAUAUUAUUAUAAAUCGAUCAUUUAAAAUAUAAUAUUAUUAAAAAAUUAAGAUUAUACAAAAAAAAAUCCAUCAAUAUUUUUAAUUAAUUAUAACAUAAAUUCUUGUUUAAUAUUUACAGAAAUAUUAUUUAAGAAUCAAUUAAUAAAAAACUUUUCAUUUUCUUUUAGUGUUUUAAAACUUCAUAUAAAAUUUAUUAAUUAAUUUUCCUUAAAAACUUUUGUAACUUUAAAUUAAGAAAUAUGACACAUAUCAUCCCUAUAUUAACUCUCAAAUGCUGAUGUGGCAUUCGUAUGAAGAGAGUUGGCCUUCUUUUAUAUAUAAAAUUUUUCAUUCUCUCUAGUCGGAAAUUUCUUCCUCUUUUGUCGGAAUUGUCUUUUGUUCUUCUAUGUUUUUAUAUUUCAUGCAAGCGUGUACAUAAAAUUAUUAUAUCAGAGCGUAGGUAAACAAUUCUUUUGUUAGCUUUGAUACCGUGUUAAGUUUCAAAUCUGAAUUAGUCAUUCUUUUAUACAUUAUUUUUUAUGGACGAAUUUAUUUUCAUUCUCCGUAGUUCGAUCUCUCUUCCCACGGAAAGACGAUUAAACUAAUAAUAAGAAAACCGCAGACUUUACAUUGAAACGAGCUGCAGAUAAAAUUUAGAAUAAAAUGGACUUUAAUGAUCCAGUUAGUAUGAACUAUGACACAUCACUUUCAAAACACACAUAGUAUAAAUGAACAAUUUAUUAAAAAGCUAGCUUUAAUACCAUGUUAGAAAAUAAACUAAUCCUUUUUGCUAGCUUUGAUACCAUGUUUAGUUUCAUCUCUGAAUUUUUCAUUAUAAAUAUACAUUAAGUUUAAAGAUAAUUUUGGUUCUUCAUUCUCUAGAACUUUUUCUCUGUUUAACGGAAAUUAUCUCUAUUUGUCAGUACUUAUCUUUUAUGCAAGUACAGCCACAAAAUUUUGAUAUCAAAGCGUAGGUAAUUAAACAAUUUUUUUGGUAAUUUUGAUAUCAUGUUAAUCUUUAUCUUCAAAAUAGUCAUUGUUCAUAUACAUUAAUUUUAUAGAUUAUUUUAAUUCUUCAUUCUCUCUAGCUGGAAAUUUCUUUCUAUUUUGUCAAAAUUGUCCUUUAUUUUUUUGGUUUUCAUCUUUCAUGCAAACAUGGACAGAAAACUAUUAUAUCAGAGCGUAGUUAAACAAUUCCUUUGUUAGUUUUGAUACUGUGUUAAGUUUUGAAUCUGAAUUAAUCAUUAUUUUAUACAUUAUUUUUAUGGAUGAAUUUAUUUUUGUUCUCCGUAGUCUAAUCUCUCUUCCCACAGAAGGACGAUUAAACCAAUAAUAAGAAAACCAUAGAUUUUUUAAUUAAAUAAGACCGCAGAUAAAAAUUAGAAUAAAAUUGACUUUAAUGAUCCAGUUAAAAUGAAGUAUGAUACAUCACUUUUAAAAUACAUGUAGGAUAAAUGAAUGACCUAUUAAAAACAUUAAAAAAGUCAAUAAGUUAGAAAAUAAACUAACCACACAUCAGAUUUUUUGCUUCAGAAAUAUAUCGAUUGAAAAACAAUGUUGCACUUGAUGUACAAAUGGCUUUUGAUUGAAUAACUAUUACAUUCAAUUAAAAAAACAAUAACGCCUAGAGAGACUAGAAGUGCCUUUAACCAAAGUAAUUAACUAACCGUCAACACCAUAGAUGGCGCGAUGCUCUUCGACAGAGGAUCAAGACACAAGCUGCUGUUUUUGAGACUUCAAAGAUAUAGAACAACCACCAAACUGAAUAAUAGAAUCUGUAUAAUAACGUCUUGUUGUUGGGCAUCAUGCCCGGCCGGAACUGCCCCAUGCAAUAAGAGACAGAUGAGUCUUAGCUUUUAAAAGAAAACCAUGUCACAGAUUGCCUUUGACCUUGAGUAAACAUAUAAACCUUGUUGUUGCAUCCCAAUGAGUCUGUUUUGGUUCUUGCAUGAACUAAGCAACAAUGUGGACCAGUGUUAAUCUGCAGGUUCAGGAAUUGUACCUCUUUUAACUAAAGCAAGACGUACGAUGGUUCUUCUCCAGAGGCACAGGUCUCCGAAAUGAUAUUAUGAUGGUCACAAAAUGUGAAAGCAGUUUUAAAAAUGUUUCCUACCUAAAAUCCCAAGCGCAAGGCUGAAAUCGAAGUAGUACUAGGUACAAAUUCACAGGGAGGAAGCAGAGUCGACCCUUGGCCAAUCCAAGAAAGCCUAUACUUCCGGCUGAUUCUUUUAUAAAAAAAUAUUUGGUCCUCAAUUAUUCAAAACUUGUCUUAGUCUGGUCAGACUGAUCGUAAAGUCUUAUGUGGCGCUUUUAGUCCCCAUUCCGUGUUCGAAUCUGCAAAUUGCCUUAGUUGUUGGGUCUAUAUGAAAAACGUUGAGAGUCUUUAGAUUUCUGGUAGUCUAUACUCUUAAGGGAAAAAUAAACUUCCUUGGCAGCCUGUUAUAAUCUUAUUUCUUGGACCCAACAGUACGAACAAUGAAAUCGCACUACACAAAACCAAAGAGAAUAUAAUACAGAGACAACAUAAACAACAAACGAUAUUAUUAUGCAAAGAGCAGACAUUACAACUCGAACACUGAGACAUUACAUUAUGAAACUUUAUUCCCAUAGAUUCUUUUUCUUGAGUUACUUCAUUACAAACUCACCAUGGUUCACUUAUAGUCAUACACACGUAUAACUGUAUUAUAUAGAUGUAGCCAUGCAUGGUGGUUAAUAUAAUAUGAAGUUUUUAGUUACCAGGCUGAGUCUCAACUGCUUCUACUCCGUGCCCUCCUCUUCCUCCGUGUCCACCGCGUCCUCCUCUUCCUCCUUUGUAUCCUCCCCCUCCUCCUCCGUAGUGUCCCCCUCCUCCUCCGUAGUGUCCUCCUCCUCCUCCUCCUCCGUAGUGUCCUCCUCCUCCGUAGUGUCCUCCUCUUCCUCCUCCGUAGUGUCCGCCGCGGCCACCACCAUAUCCAUCAGGUUUCACAGUUUCCUCACUCUCUGACUUCACCCCUGUCCAAAAAAAUAUAGAAAAAUCACAUUAUUUCAAAGAUAUUGUUUAGCACGUGCAAAUGUUCUUUCCUCUCCCCGAUUUCAAAAACGAAAUUUCUCUUAUAAACAUUUUAAAAUAUGUAUCGAAUCUCUUGUUUAGAAUAAAGAAUUAUGAGUUUCAAAAUUAAAUAUACGUUCUAUAUAAAAUUUUCACCAAUAUACGUAAGUGUCUUUUAUUACUAGGACAUCAACAUCGUACUUAAGUGUGUUUUUUGACUUAUAAGUCCAUAUAGUUGACCUUCGUUCAAAUCAACCUUCCGGACUUAACACGGACGAAAUAGACAAAUAGAGACAAUAUUAUCAAAUAUGGUACGUUUGUUUGGGUUCGAUUAGCUUCACGAACAUUUAUUUUGUUUCUAUAAAAUAAUUUUAUUUACCCGAUGAUUGCCUUUCUGCGGCAACUUCUGAGACGACGAGAAGUAAUGCAAAGAGACCCAAAAGAAUCAAAGCUUUGGAAGCCAUUUUCUUCUACUGCUUUUAAGUUUAUAACACUCUUUU
This 18208-nucleotide long non-coding RNA is filed under the name Eutrema salsugineum. RNAcentral's name for it is "long non-coding RNA (ESAL_LNC000709)". Lineage: Eukaryota; Viridiplantae; Streptophyta; Magnoliopsida; Brassicales; Brassicaceae. The record is from RNAcentral.